RNAcentral lists this transfer RNA (66 nucleotides) under Stegodyphus mimosarum. It matches the Rfam family "tRNA". From Rfam's summary of the family: Transfer RNA (tRNA) molecules are approximately 80 nucleotides in length. The record is from Rfam by way of RNAcentral. Lineage: Eukaryota; Metazoa; Arthropoda; Arachnida; Araneae; Eresidae.
GCCUUCGUGGUGUAGUGGUCAGCACGCUCGACCGAGAAGUCCGUGGUUCGAUUCCCGGCCAAGGCG